GGAGAAGUGGAUCAGACGGAAGAUCGUGUCCGAUACGGUGAGGCCGGAGUUGAAAGCCCGGUUUAGGAUAGUCGGACAAGACGCAGGUUCGAGCCCUGCCUUCUCCACCA
This 110-nucleotide transfer RNA is filed under the name Bacteroides sp. RNAcentral's name for it is "tRNA-OTHER". It matches the Rfam family "tRNA". Rfam says of the family: Transfer RNA (tRNA) molecules are approximately 80 nucleotides in length. Their secondary structure includes four short double-helical elements and three loops (D, anti-codon, and T loops). Lineage: Bacteria; Pseudomonadati; Bacteroidota; Bacteroidia; Bacteroidales; Bacteroidaceae. The record is from RNAcentral.